GACGAACGCUGGCGGCGUGCUUAACACAUGCAAGUCGAACGGCAAGGCCCUGCUGUUGUGGGGUGCUCGAGUGGCGAACGGAUGAGUAACAAGUGAGUAACAUGCCGUUGACUUUGGGAUAACAUCAGGAAACUGGGGCUAAUACCGGAUAGGAGCUCCUGCUGAAUGGUGGGGGUUGGAAAGUUAAGGCGGUUGGGGAUGGACUGCGGGCUUAUCAGGUUGUUGGGGGGGUAGUGGCUUAGCAAGGCUGUGGCGGGUAGCCGGCCUGAGAGGUUGAGCGGGCACAUGGGUACUGAGAUACGGCCCAGAGUCCUAUGGUAGGCAGUAGUGGGGAAUAUUGUACAAUGGGCGGAAGCCUGAUGCAGCAACCCCGCGUGCGUGAUGACGGUCUUCGGGGUGUAAACCGCUUUCGCCUGUGACUAAGCGUUAGUGACGGUGACGGGUAAAGAAGCACCGGCUAACUACGUG
This 468-nucleotide ribosomal RNA is filed under the name uncultured bacterium. RNAcentral's name for it is "partial 16S ribosomal RNA". It matches the Rfam family "Bacterial small subunit ribosomal RNA", at positions 28 to 507 of the family's 1533-position model. The record is from RNAcentral.